GUGAGGAAUAUUGGUCAAUGGGCGGGAGCCUGAACCAGCCAAGUCGCGUGAAGGAAGAAGGAUCUAUGGUUCGUAAACUUCUUUUGCAGGGGAAUAAAGUGCAGGACGUGUCCUGUUUUGUAUGUACCCUGAGAAUAAGGAUCGGCUAACUCCGUGCCAGCAGCCGCGGUAAUACGGAGGAUCCGAGCGUUAUCCGGAUUUAUUGGGUUUAAAGGGUGCGUAGGUGGUUUGAUAAGUCAGCGGUGAAAGUUUGCAGCUUAACUGUAAAAAUGCCGUUGAACAUGUCGGACUUGAGUGUAAAUGAGGUAGGCGGAAUGCGUGGUGUAGCGGUGAAAUGCAUAGAUAUCACGCAGAACUCCGAUUGCGAAGGCAGCUUACUAAGCUACAACUGACACUGAAGCACGAAAGCGUGGGGAUCAAACAGGAUUAGAAACCCCUGUAGUCC
RNAcentral lists this ribosomal RNA (445 nucleotides) under uncultured bacterium. RNAcentral describes it as "partial 16S ribosomal RNA". It matches the Rfam family "Bacterial small subunit ribosomal RNA", at positions 354 to 796 of the family's 1533-position model. The record is from RNAcentral.